AUGAGGGCGGAGGCACUCCAACUCAAGAUGAGAUCAUGGACAAGCCUGUGGUGGUCCCAUUGCUUUCUACCACAAAUCAGCCAUCGAUUGCAGAAACGGUUAACACUGCUCCUAUUGCAUACCAGAACAGCAGUCAGCAGAACCGCAACAAUCCCCAACAGCAAGCUUACAUGCAGCCAGGUGUGGCUCAGAACGGGCAGGUCUACCAAAUGUCAGAGCAUGGGGAUUACUGCACCUGCUGCACAAUACCAGCAGAUUUCUGCACAAACAGGAGGGCCAGUGCCUGGAAAAAGAGCCACAGGGAGUGCAUGUAGCACACACAUUGAAAGCUUUCAGGGGGUGAGUGAAAGGGGUUGGUAUGGUGACAUUUACCCAGAGGGGAACGCUCAGCAACCACGAGGCUACAAUGUGACAGCGCCUGGAGGUGCUGGAGAAAACAAGGCACCGGGACUUUAUCCAUACCAAACAGAGACAUUUCAGGAACCUCAAGAGUUAGCCUCCCAGCAGGGUGCCACCACAUCCCCUGGUUUCUUCAGAAGCACCCUCCCUCCUGUCCCAAAGCUCCCUCCCCCUCCUCCUGUCUUUGCCGCCCCUCCUUCCGCGACCAGCAGUAUGAUGAUGCCGGCAGUGCAGCAGCCGGUGCCUGGCGCUGGCACAGGGGAGGUGAUCGGGGGCAGAGUCGACAGUGUCAUCAGUGGGAUGGUGGUCCACGACCAUCAACACAAAUCCAUGUUUCAUCCUGAUGAUUCGCUGUUUGAUCUUGACCGACCUCGCCCUCCUCCCCCUGAGGAUUUUCACCCUCACCCAGACGGCCUGCUUUACCAGGAUGAGCUUCGUCAUCAUGAUGCCCUUUUCUUUCAAGACGACCCUUACCGCCACCCAGACGAUCCGUAUUACAGGCCAGGCAGCCCUCCGCACCACUACCCCAGAGUUCAAGAGCGCCUCACUCCCCCUUUCUCACCCUCAGAGGACCCCUACUAUGCCCAUGACUACCAGCGGCACAGCCCCCCUCCUCCGCACUACACUCCAAGGCGACCACCACCACCACGUAAUUUUGAAAUCCGUCAUCCUGGUCUACGGCCUCCACAUCGGCCUCCCCACCCAGCACACCACCCACACCCCAGAGGACCUCCACGUGCACCAUUUCCUCGGUUCCACGGCCCCGAUCCAAGGUUAAGAGGCAAACGUCCAGGUCCAAGAGGAGGUGGAAAUCCUGGGCCAAUGUUCCCCCCGAAAAGACCCUUUCCACCCCCACGGUACUGA
RNAcentral lists this long non-coding RNA (1263 nucleotides) under Sander lucioperca (pikeperch). Its description in RNAcentral is "lncRNA (ENSSLUG00000012579.1)". Lineage: Eukaryota; Metazoa; Chordata; Actinopteri; Perciformes; Percidae. The record is from RNAcentral.